Molecule: transfer-messenger RNA, 357 nt
Filed under: chicken gut metagenome
Rfam family: transfer-messenger RNA
About the family: Bacterial tmRNA, also known as 10Sa RNA or SsrA, is named for its dual tRNA and mRNA-like properties. Its role is to liberate the mRNA from a stalled ribosome.
Source: RNAcentral
GGGGAUGUAUUUGGUUUCGACAGCAAUCUAGAAACACCAAUAGCGAGUAGUGGAUUCUCGUUGGCCACUUAAAAAAACGGGAAAUUAAAUAUAAACGCUGAUAAUAGAGAAUUAGCAUACGCUGCCUAAGAAUUGCAGUGAUAUCUUACCUUUUGUGCCCACGCUUUAGGAUAAGGUGACGAAUGAGUGGGAAACGAAUCUAUCUGAUGUCAUAGGAUAGAGGGUAAUGAUGACUACUGAUUUGUAAAGUUUGUUUAUUAACGAUACAAAGAGGGAAUGAAAAAUAAUAAACUGCACUCGGAGAAGUUGAUGUGGAAGGGUUGUUGGACAGGAGUUCGACUCUCCUCAUCUCCACCA